AUGUCCACACGCGCCCGGCUCUGCAUCCGCGAGGUGGCGCGGGAGCUUGAGGAAGACAUGGAGCUCGGAGCCGAAGGGGAUCUCAACGCCGCCGCGCCCUCCACUGCUAGCUUCCCACCGCCGCGCCCUCCACAGCUAGCUUCCCGCCGCCGUGCUCUCUCUCUCGCCGUGGUCACCGCCGUGCUCUCUGUCGCCGUGGUCACCGCCGCUGUCGCCCGCUUAUAUAGCACACCCGCCAACGGCUCUCUGCUCAACGGCUCUUUGCUGGGUCCCACAAGCCACGCGUGCAACGGUCUGAAUAAAAUUGGCCGCUUCUGCCGCCUGGUCCCACCUCCGGCGCUCCCUGGUAAGGCCGCCCCCCUGCCCUUCGUCACCCCGCCGGCGAACACACCCCCCCUGCUCCACCCUGCUCCUUCUUUGGAUCCGGUCGCAGGAGUGCUCGAGGAGGCGCUCGAGCUUGGCAUGCUCGUCGGCGACGCCGGGUCCCUACCGCACAUGCCGGACUGCCGACCUCUCGCCGGCGAUGCGACCUCCCAGGCGGGACGGCCGUGGCCACUGGCCAUGGCCAUGGAGGAGGUGGAAGUUCCUGUCCCCACGGAGAAGCUCUCCACUGAUUCAAAUAUUUAUCCUUAUCCACCAUCCGUUCAUUUAUUCAACUGGAUGACCGCAGGGACGGGGGAAGGCAAGGUGAUGUGGUGUUGGUGGCCACCGGGAGCUUCAACCUCCCACCUACAUGCACAGAGCUUGCGAAGGAUGAGUUGCAGCAGCGAGGGUAGUUGGUGCUGGAUGGAUACUGGAUACAUGUCCCCGGUGAACGAUGCUAACAAGAAGAAGUACAUGCGUACCAUUGGAUUUUCGCUGUCACAUAAGGCAAUGCAGAAAGGAAGUGUCAAGGUAAUGCUGCUAUGUGGUUCUGACCUGCUUGAGUCAUUCAGCAAGCGAGGGGUUUGGAUUCCAGAUCAGAACCAUUGUGUUGGUGGUCAUGUUGAUGGAACUUGA
Molecule: ribosomal RNA, 999 nt
Filed under: Triticum aestivum (bread wheat)
Lineage: Eukaryota; Viridiplantae; Streptophyta; Magnoliopsida; Poales; Poaceae
Description: partial small subunit ribosomal RNA
Source: RNAcentral